Long non-coding RNA from Panicum virgatum (switchgrass), 1082 nucleotides. RefSeq lists it as uncharacterized. NCBI's taxonomy places the organism in Eukaryota, Viridiplantae, Streptophyta, Magnoliopsida, Poales, Poaceae. The record is from RefSeq and is a predicted model, not a curated record. The transcript has 3 exons.
CGCAUGCGGCCGGCCGGCUACGCAGCUGCCUGCCUGGCGCCGCCUCAUCUCGUCAUCCCCCUCCUCUUCUCCUUUGCGAGACAAGGGGCAGCGCUUCGUGCUGCGGCGGGGCGGCUCCUCGCAUGCGGCUGCAGGGCAACAUCGCGCGGCAGCGGCGAGAUGCAGCACGACGCUUUGUGCUGCGGCAGGCCACCGGUGCGCAGCGGGACAGCGCCUCGCGUGCGGCCGCAGGGCGGUAUCGCGUGUAGGCGGCGAGAUGCGGGCGCGCCUGUGCGCCGGGGCCGCAGCUGCCUCCGGAGUUGAGGGCGCAGCUGGCGCUAUCUGGCCGCCGGCCCUCUGCUCGGGCGUUGAAGCCGCCUCCGCAGUCCUGGGUUUCGCGUGCGGUCCGCCAGCCGUUACCCGCCGCCGACUUGCGUGCUGCUGCUACCAGCAACGCUAGCUCACCACUGCCUGAGAGAAAGGGGAUUGGGUUGCAGCAGCGUUUCUGCUUCGUUUUUUUUUGUUAAACAGAUCUGUUAGACAGAGGACUCUCUCUGUUUCGCUUUCUCUAGCUGGAUUUGUUUAUUACUUUUCCAAUGCCUGUACUCCACCUCUGUUUGUUUGGUUCGUGAUCAAUUUUCCUCUCACUGCUGCUGAUUUCGUUGUGUGUUUUGCUUAGUUCGGGCAUUGAUAUUUUGUUGUGGUUUCUUUGUAUUUCAUUUUUUUAUACUACUGUUUUCUGCAGGUUUCUAGAUAAGGAGGCUCGAAGUGCAAUCGAGUUCAGUUACUUGAGGCAGAGUUUGAGGAGAUUUCUUCAGACAGGACAGUGGAAGUGCAAUCAAGUUCAAUUGCUUACAGGACAGUUUGAGAGAGAUGGAUGCAGAACCAAGAAAAAAGAUGGCAGCUUUUGUGGUUGUGAACCUGGCAAACGAAGGCGGCCUCAACAAACAGUGGCAAUAUAACAAAAGGUGUAUCGAUUUAUACCGUUACGUUAUUGAUAAAAUAACAAUAACAACAAUGCUAUUGAGCAGCCAUUUCAUAUGAAUGUAUAUGCAUUAUUUGAUCAAUCGAAAAAUUCUGUUCAGUAGACAUUAUCUAAGAAA